RNAcentral lists this ribosomal RNA (421 nucleotides) under uncultured bacterium. Its description in RNAcentral is "partial 16S ribosomal RNA". It matches the Rfam family "Bacterial small subunit ribosomal RNA", at positions 355 to 768 of the family's 1533-position model. The record is from RNAcentral.
UGGGGAAUAUUGCACAAUGGGCGCAAGCCUGAUGCAGCCAUGCCGCGUGUGUGAAGAAGGCCUUCGGGUUGUAAAGCACUUUCAGCGAGGAGGAAGGGUUCAGUGUUAAUAGCACUGUUCAUUGACGUUACUCGCAGAAGAAGCACCGGCUAACUCCGUGCCAGCAGCCGCGGUAAUACGGAGGGUGCAAGCGUUAAUCGGAAUUACUGGGCGUAAAGCGCACGCAGGCGGUUUGUUAAGUCAGAUGUGAAAUCCCCGCGCUUAACGUGGAACUGCAUUUGAAACUGGCAAGCUAGAGUCUUGUAGAGGGGGGUGAGAAUUCCAGGUGUAGCGGUGAAAUGCGUAGAGAUCUGGAGGAAUACCGGUGGCGAAGGCGGCCCCCUGGACAAAGACUGACGCUCAGGUGCGAAAGCGUGGGGAG